Molecule: small RNA, 81 nt
Filed under: Pseudocoprococcus catus
Lineage: Bacteria; Bacillati; Bacillota; Clostridia; Lachnospirales; Lachnospiraceae
Description: RAGATH-35 RNA
Rfam family: RAGATH-35 RNA
About the family: Clostridium (Firmicutes). Nearby to self-cleaving ribozyme genes
Source: RNAcentral
GCAGACAGCAGUGCGUUGGUGCUUUCGGAAUGGUCUACUGUUACUCAUCAACGGUUUCCUUUCCCUUAUCCGUUUCGGUGA